RNAcentral lists this ribosomal RNA (468 nucleotides) under uncultured bacterium. RNAcentral describes it as "partial 16S ribosomal RNA". It matches the Rfam family "Bacterial small subunit ribosomal RNA", at positions 28 to 507 of the family's 1533-position model. The record is from RNAcentral.
GACGAACGCUGGCGGCGUGCUUAACACAUGCAAGUCGAACGGAAGGGCCCUGCUUUUGUGGGGUGCUCGAGUGGCGAACGGGUGAGUAACACGUGAGUAACCUGCCCUUGACUUUGGGAUAACUUCAGGAAACUGGGGCUAAUACCGGAUAGGAGCUCCUGCUGCAUGGUGGGGGUUGGAAAGUUUCGGCGGUUGGGGAUGGACUCGCGGCUUAUCAGCUUGUUGGUGGGGUAGUGGCUUACCAAGGCUUUGACGGGUAGCCGGCCUGAGAGGGUGACCGGCCACAUUGGGACUGAGAUACGGCCCAGACUCCAACGGGAGGCAGCAGUGGGGAAUAUUGCACAAUGGGCGGAAGCCUGAUGCAGCAACGCCGCGUGCGGGAUGACGGCCUUCGGGUUGUAAACCGCUUUCGCCUGUGACGAAGCGUGAGUGACGGUAAUGGGUAAAGAAGCACCGGCUAACUACGUG